Molecule: ribosomal RNA, 511 nt
Filed under: uncultured Glomeromycotina
Lineage: Eukaryota; Fungi; Glomeromycota
Description: SSU rRNA
Rfam family: Eukaryotic small subunit ribosomal RNA
Source: RNAcentral
CGCAGCCGCGGUAAUUCCAGCUCCAAUAGCGUAUAUUAAAGUUGCUGCAGUUAAAAAGCUCGUAGUUGAAUUUCGGAAUCUGUCCGUUGGUCGGGCUUAACUGUCCGUACUGAUGUGAUGGGUUCUUACCUUCUGAAUAACCAGCAUGUCAUUAAUUUGGUGUGUUGGGGAAGCAGGACUAUUACCUUGAAAAAAUUAGAGUGCUCAAAGCAGGCUAGUGCCUGAAUACAUUAGCAUGGAAUAAUAAAAUAGGACGGCAUGGUUCUAUUUUGUUGGUUUCUAGGAUCACCGUAAUGAUUAAUAGGGAUAGUUGGGGGCAUUAGUAUUCAAUUGUCAGAGGUGAAAUUCUUGGAUUUAUUGAAGACUAACUUCUGCGAAAGCAUUUGCCAAGGAUGUUUUCAUUAAUCAAGAACGAAAGUUAGGGGAUCGAAGACGAUCAGAUACCGUCGUAGUCUUAACCAUAAACUAUGCCGACUAGGGAUCGGACGAUGUUAAUUUAUAAUGACUCGUU